Molecule: ribosomal RNA, 300 nt
Filed under: uncultured Planctomycetota bacterium
Lineage: Bacteria; Pseudomonadati; Planctomycetota
Description: bacterial SSU rRNA
Rfam family: Bacterial small subunit ribosomal RNA
Source: RNAcentral
AAUGAACGUUGGCGGCGUGGAUUAGGCAUGCAAGUCGAGCGGGUGUAGCAAUACAUCAGCGGCGAAAGGGAGAGUAACGCGUAGCUACGUACCCCGGAGUCCGGAAUAGCCAGCCGAAAGGCUGGGUAAUGCCGGAUGAUGUCUCCGGACUAAAGGUGUGAUUCCGCUUUGGGAGCGGGCUGCGUUGUACUAGCUAGUUGGUAGGGUAAUGGCCUACCAAGGCGAUGAUGCAUACCGGGCGUGAGAGCGUGGCCCGGCUCACUGGGACUGAGACACUGCCCAGACACCUACGGGUGGCUG